CCUACGGGCGGCAGCAGUCGAGAAUCAUUCACAAUGGGGGAAACCCUGAUGGUGCGACGCCGCGUGGGGGAAUGAAGGUCUUCGGAUUGUAAACCCCUGUCAUGUGGGAGCAAAUUAAAAAGAUAGUACCACAAGAGGAAGAGACGGCUAACUCUGGGCCAGCAGCCGCGGUAAUACAGAGGUAUCAAGCGUUGUUCGGAAUCACUGGGCGUAAAGCGUGCGGAGGCUGUUUCGUAAGUCGUGUGUGAAAGGCGCGGGCUCAACCCGCGGACGGCAGAUGAUACUGCGAGACUAGAGUGAUGGAGAGGGAGCCGGAAUUCUCGGUGUAGCAGUGAAAUGCGUAGAUAUCGAGAGGAACACUCGUGGCGAAGGCGGGUUCCUGGACAUUAACUGACGCUGAGGCACGAAGGCCAGGGGAGCGAAAGGGAUUAGAUACCCGGGUAGUC
This 446-nucleotide ribosomal RNA is filed under the name uncultured bacterium. RNAcentral's name for it is "partial 16S ribosomal RNA". It matches the Rfam family "Bacterial small subunit ribosomal RNA", at positions 338 to 795 of the family's 1533-position model. The record is from RNAcentral.